RNAcentral lists this ribosomal RNA (484 nucleotides) under uncultured bacterium. Its description in RNAcentral is "partial 16S ribosomal RNA". It matches the Rfam family "Bacterial small subunit ribosomal RNA", at positions 30 to 507 of the family's 1533-position model. The record is from RNAcentral.
AUUGAACGCUGGCGGCAGGCCUAACACAUGCAAGUCGAGCGGAUGAAGGGAGCUUGCUCCUGGAUUCAGCGGCGGACGGGUGAGUAAUGCCUAGGAAUCUGCCCGGUAGUGGGGGAUAACGUCCGGAAACGGGCGCUAAUACCGCAUACGUCCUGAGGGAGAAAGUGGGGGAUCUUCGGACCUCACGCUAUCAGAUGAGCCUAGGUCGGAUUAGCUAGUUGGUGGGGUAAAGGCCUACCAAGGCGACGAUCCGUAACUAGUCUGAGAGGAUGAUCAGUCACACUGGAACUGAGACACGGUCCAGACUCCUACGGGAGGCAGCAGUGGGGAAUAUUGGACAAUGGGCGAAAGCCUGAUCCAGCCAUGCCGCGUGUGUGAAGAAGGUCUUCGGAUUGUAAAGCACUUUAAGUUGGGAGGAAGGGCAGUAAGUUAAUACCUUGCUGUUUUGACGUUACCAACAGAAUAAGCACCGGCUAACUUCGUG